AGAGUUUGAUCCUGGCUCAGAUUGAACGCUGGCGGCAUGCCUUACACAUGCAAGUCGAGCGGAAACGAGUUUUCUGAUCCUUCCGGGAGCGAUACGGGCGUCUAGCGGCGGACAGCGGACCAAUGCCUGGGAGAUUGCCCUGCUGUGGGGGAUAUCCUUUGGCAUGAAUGGCUAAUAUCACAUGAUGCCAACUGCCCACCUAGGGGUACCUUCGGGCCUCUCGCGUCAUGAUAUGCCUAGGGGGGAUUAGGUUUAUGGUGAGGGCAAGGUUCACCUGGGCGAAGAUCCCUACCUGGCCUGAUGGGACGGUCACCCACACUGGAACUGAAACGCGGGCCACACUCCUAAAUUAUGCACCAUGGGGGAAUAUUGGAUCCUGGGCUGCCGCCUGAUGCAUCCAUGCCCCCUGUAUGAAAAAUGCCUUCGGGUUGAAAAGAACUUUCGGUCCUGAUGAAC
This 456-nucleotide ribosomal RNA is filed under the name uncultured bacterium. RNAcentral describes it as "bacterial SSU rRNA". It matches the Rfam family "Bacterial small subunit ribosomal RNA", at positions 8 to 450 of the family's 1533-position model. The record is from RNAcentral.